This 105-nucleotide ribosomal RNA is filed under the name Pteropus alecto (black flying fox). Lineage: Eukaryota; Metazoa; Chordata; Mammalia; Chiroptera; Pteropodidae. The record is from RNAcentral.
GUCUACGGCCAUGCCACCCUGAACAAGCCCAAUGUCUGAUAGCAGGAUCGGGCCAGGUUAGUACUUGGAUGGGAGACCAUCUAGGAAGAACAGAUGCUGUAGGCA